GGCGAGUUAAUUUAACGGUCAAAAUGCACGACUUAUAAUCGUGUCUUGCUGGUUCGAAUCCAGCACUUGCCA
Molecule: transfer RNA, 72 nt
Filed under: Caudoviricetes sp.
Lineage: Duplodnaviria; Heunggongvirae; Uroviricota; Caudoviricetes
Description: tRNA-Ile
Rfam family: tRNA
About the family: Transfer RNA (tRNA) molecules are approximately 80 nucleotides in length. Their secondary structure includes four short double-helical elements and three loops (D, anti-codon, and T loops).
Source: RNAcentral